UCCCUUGUAGCUCAGUUGGUAAAGAAUCUGCCUGCAAUGCAGAAGACCCAGGUUCGAUACCUGGGUUGGGAA
This is a non-coding RNA of Capra hircus (goat), 72 nucleotides long. NCBI's taxonomy places the organism in Eukaryota, Metazoa, Chordata, Mammalia, Artiodactyla, Bovidae. The record is from the annotation of a RefSeq genome assembly.